AUUGAACGCUGGCGGCAUGCUUUACACAUGCAAGUCGAACGGCAGCGCGGGCUUCGGCCUGGCGGCGAGUGGCGAACGGGUGAGUAAUGCAUCGGAACGUGCCCAGUAGUGGGGGAUAGCCCGGCGAAAGCCGGAUUAAUACCGCAUACGACCUGAGGGUGAAAGCGGGGGACCGAAAGGCCUCGCGCUAUUGGAGCGGCCGAUGUCGGAUUAGCUAGUUGGUGGGGUAAAGGCUUACCAAGGCGACGAUCCGUAGCUGGUCUGAGAGGACGACCAGCCACACUGGGACUGAGACACGGCCCAGACUCCUACGGGAGGCAGCAGUGGGGAAUUUUGGACAAUGGGGGCAACCCUGAUCCAGCCAUGCCGCGUGCGGGAAGAAGGCCUUCGGGUUCUAAACCGCUUUUGUUCGGGAAGAAAUCCUCUGGGCUAAUACCCCGGGGGGAUGGCGGUACCGGAAGAAUAAGCACCGGCUAACUACGUG
RNAcentral lists this ribosomal RNA (484 nucleotides) under uncultured bacterium. RNAcentral describes it as "partial 16S ribosomal RNA". It matches the Rfam family "Bacterial small subunit ribosomal RNA", at positions 28 to 507 of the family's 1533-position model. The record is from RNAcentral.